RNAcentral lists this ribosomal RNA (253 nucleotides) under uncultured bacterium. Its description in RNAcentral is "partial 16S ribosomal RNA". It matches the Rfam family "Bacterial small subunit ribosomal RNA", at positions 524 to 776 of the family's 1533-position model. The record is from RNAcentral.
UACGAAGGGGGCUAGCGUUGCUCGGAAUCACUGGGCGUAAAGGGUGCGUAGGCGGGUCUUUAAGUCAGGGGUGAAAUCCUGGAGCUCAACUCCAGAACUGCCUCUGAUACUGGCAAUCUUGAGUCCGGAAGAGGUGAGUGGAACUCCUAGUGUAGAGGUGGAAUUCGUAGAUAUUAGGAAGAACACCAGUGGCGAAGGCGGCUCACUGGUCCGGUACUGACGCUGAGGUGCGAAAGCGUGGGGAGCAAACAGG